GAAGGACUAGCUCAGCGGUAGAGUAUCUGGCUUUCAUGCAGAAGGUCCCUGGUUCAGUUCCUGGUAUCUUCA
This is a non-coding RNA of Podarcis lilfordi (Lilford's wall lizard), 72 nucleotides long. Lineage: Eukaryota; Metazoa; Chordata; Lepidosauria; Squamata; Lacertidae. The record is from the annotation of a GenBank genome assembly.